GAUGAACGCUGGCGGCGUGCCUAAUACAUGCAAGUCGAACGCACAGCGAAAGGUGCUUGCACCUUUCAAGUGAGUGGCGAACGGGUGAGUAACACGUGGACAACCUGCCUCAAGGCUGGGGAUAACAUUUGGAAACAGAUGCUAAUACCGAAUAAAACUUAGUGUCGCAUGACACAAAGUUAAAAGGCGCUUCGGCGUCACCUAGAGAUGGAUCCGCGGUGCAUUAGUUAGUUGGUGGGGUAAAGGCCUACCAAGACAAUGAUGCAUAGCCGAGUUGAGAGACUGAUCGGCCACAUUGGGACUGAGACACGGCCCAAACUCCUACGGGAGGCUGCAGUAGGGAAUCUUCCACAAUGGGCGAAAGCCUGAUGGAGCAACGCCGCGUGUGUGAUGAAGGCUUUCGGGUCGUAAAGCACUGUUGUAUGGGAAGAACAGCUAGAAUAGGAAAUGAUUUUAGUUUGACGGUACCAUACCAGAAAGGGACGGCUAAAUACGUGCCAGCAGCCGCGGUAAUACGUAUGUCCCGAGCGUUAUCCGGAUUUAUUGGGCGUAAAGCGAGCGCAGACGGUUUAUUAAGUCUGAUGUGAAAGCCCGGAGCUCAACUCCGGAAUGGCAUUGGAAACUGGUUAACUUGAGUGCAGUAGAGGUAAGUGGAACUCCAUGUGUAGCGGUGGAAUGCGUAGAUAUAUGGAAGAACACCAGUGGCGAAGGCGGCUUACUGGACUGCAACUGACGUUGAGGCUCGAAAGUGUGGGUAGCAAACAGGAUUAGAUACCCUGGUAGUCCACACCGUAAACGAUGAACACUAGGUGUUAGGAGGUUUCCGCCUCUUAGUGCCGAAGCUAACGCAUUAAGUGUUCCGCCUGGGGAGUACGACCGCAAGGUUGAAACUCAAAGGAAUUGACGGGGACCCGCACAAGCGGUGGAGCAUGUGGUUUAAUUCGAAGCAACGCGAAGAACCUUACCAGGUCUUGACAUCCUUUGAAGCUUUUAGAGAUAGAAGUGUUCUCUUCGGAGACAAAGUGACAGGUGGUGCAUGGUCGUCGUCAGCUCGUGUCGUGAGAUGUUGGGUUAAGUCCCGCAACGAGCGCAACCCUUAUUGUUAGUUGCCUGCAUUCAGAUGGGCACUCUAGCGAGACUGCCGGUGACAAACCGGAGGAAGGCGGGGACGACGUCAGAUCAUCAUGCCCCUUAUGACCUGGGCUACACACGUGCUACAAUGGCGUAUACAACGAGUUGCCAACCCGCGAGGGUGAGCUAAUCUCUUAAAGUACGUCUCAGUUCGGAUUGUAGUCUGCAACUCGACUACAUGAAGUCGGAAUCGCUAGUAAUCGCGGAUCAGCACGCCGCGGUGAAUACGUUCCCGGGUCUUGUACACACCGCCCGUCACACCAUGGGAGUUUGUAAUGCCCAAAGCCGGUGGCCUAACCUUUUAGGAAGGAGCCGUCUAAGGCAGGACAGAUGACUGGGGUG
This 1473-nucleotide ribosomal RNA is filed under the name Leuconostoc mesenteroides. Its description in RNAcentral is "bacterial SSU rRNA". It matches the Rfam family "Bacterial small subunit ribosomal RNA". The record is from RNAcentral. Lineage: Bacteria; Bacillati; Bacillota; Bacilli; Lactobacillales; Lactobacillaceae.